CGCUACUUCUCUUUGCUCUAACCCGUCGGAUAGCUGUGGCAAUUCUGAGCACAUAAUUGGGUGUACUGAGGUGACCUAAGCUGGAAACUGUAUCGGCACCGCCCGAUUGUCCUGUAAACCAUUUAUCUGUCAGCCUGGCAGAGGGCAUACUUGACAGAGACAAGACAGAAAAGUGGUCAAAAUCAAAUCCAUACAAUAUUAUUCCAUAAAAGAAAAAAAAUAGAGGAUGUAUCUGUAUUUGCUGCAUACAUACGCUUCUCUAACAAUGCAUUUCUGGACAAGGAACAGAGACACUUCAAGGAGUAACACUUUUUUUUUUUUUUUUGGUGUGUGUGUCUAUGCUUUAAACUUACUAUGUGAUCAUUUUUGCUGUGCUGCUUUGUUCAUGUACUGUGAGAAACAGUGAAAAAUAGUUCUCCAUUUAUCUUCUUUCCCCCUUUAUUGAGUAUUAUACCAGCCAUGCAAACACAUCUUCCUUGGGCUGAAGAGAUUCAUUAUGUUUGGUUACUUCUUAUAUGAAAGCCACUACUGUUGUCCUCCGUGUAUUUUCCAGCCCCCAGGCAUCCUCCUCUGUGAGGCGGGACCACAACUGCAGGAAGCCCAGCGGGGGCUACAGAGAGCGGCGAGCAGGAAGGAAGUCAGACCAGACAGCACUAUCUCAAGGAGACUCUUAGCAUCCUUUUAGACACCUUUCGCUGUCUCCGAGAAUUGAACUUAUGUCAGCUGACUACAAAGACAUGAAGAAGCAUCUCACAAAACUGAGGACCAAGAGAAGCCCAGUAGCAAGGGAAGCUGUUCUGAAUAGGUCUGAAUCAUCUCCAGACUUUGUGUCCCCCCUCAGGGGUAAGUAUGAGGGUGCCCAAGCACUGGGGGCCCGGGAGCCCUGUCUGGGAGCGGGGGGGUGGGGUGGGGACACGAACACAGCCCCUCCUGCAGCCGUAUCCUGGCCAGGCAUGAGGACACGGGGACAAGGGGACUCCAGGCCCUAGCCUCCACCCCUGCCUCUCCUGGAGCAAGCCACUGAGGGACCUUUGGAGAGACAUCCACAGCCCGAGGGGGCCAGGAAUGGCCCAGAGCGGUGAGCCCAGCGGUUCGGGGGGAAUGGAAGCUGCAGAGAGCUGCCUCUGUGGCAGAACCUGUGCAAGACCUCUGGGAAAACUCUCAUUGCUUCUGUCCUGCAUUCUGUUUGCAGAGGUUUUGUUGUUGUUGUUUGUUUGUUUGUUUGUUUUUGAUGUUGUAAAAAGAUGGAAGCACAGGCUCACUUCCUAAAGAAAACAAAAAACAAAACCAACCAAUGAAAAGAAACAAACAUAGGAACACCCUACGAAAACAAAAACAAAGCUUCAGCUUUGUUUUAAUCUUAAUGUGGAAACACCACGCUAAGAUUUCGAGAGAGCUUGCCACUGACCCCAGAGCACACACGACAACCCUUCCUAAUGGGCAGCAGAGCAAGGGCCAUGGGCGCGCAGCACCGAGCAGCCCCCAUGGCUCUUGAGAGGGCGCGCAGCAGCUGAGUGCAAAUGUGUGGAAUUAAAGAAAAACACCACCUCUAUGUUUUUUCUCCCCAAAGCCUUCAAAUGUCCACAAGAACAAGCAGCAUAGUUCAUGAUGAAUGGACUAGAGGGAAGAAAUCAGACCCGAACCACAGAGAAACAAAGAGCUAAGAGCAGAAGCAGAAGCAACCCCCCG
Long non-coding RNA from Anser cygnoides (Swan goose), 1689 nucleotides. The record is from Ensembl. Lineage: Eukaryota; Metazoa; Chordata; Aves; Anseriformes; Anatidae.